AAUAAGUGUAGCUAUAAGUUUCCGCGUCCAAAUUUGAUCGUCUGUCUUAUUUGAAACUUUUUUAUAAUUAGCAUUUUCAUUGUUAUAAGAUGAUAGAAUAUGAAUAAUAUUUUACUUGUGACUUAUGUUUUAAUUAUUUUUUAAAAUUUUGUUAAAUAAAAUAAAUGGUCAAAGUUAAAUAUGAAAAAUCAUGAUUUCACUUAUU
Molecule: non-coding RNA, 205 nt
Organism: Oryza meridionalis
Lineage: Eukaryota; Viridiplantae; Streptophyta; Magnoliopsida; Poales; Poaceae
Source: Rfam